RNAcentral lists this ribosomal RNA (468 nucleotides) under uncultured bacterium. Its description in RNAcentral is "partial 16S ribosomal RNA". It matches the Rfam family "Bacterial small subunit ribosomal RNA", at positions 28 to 507 of the family's 1533-position model. The record is from RNAcentral.
GACGAACGCUGGCGGCGUGCUUAACACAUGCAAGUCGAACGGAAAGGCCCUGCUUUUGUGGGGUGCUCGAGUGUCGAACGGGUGAGUAACACGUGAGUAACCUGCCCUUGACUUUGGGAUAACUUCAGGAAACUGGGGCUAAUACCGGAUAGGAGCUCCUGCUGCAUGGUGGGGGUUGGAAAGUUUCGGCGGUUGGGGAUGGACUCGCGGCUUAUCAGCUUGUUGGUGGGGUAGUGGCUUACCAAGGCUUUGACGGGUAGCCGGCCUGAGAGGGUGACCGGCCACAUUGGGACUGAGAUACGGCCCAGACUCCUACGGGAGGCGGCAGUGGGGAAUAUUGCACAAUGGGCGGAAGCCUGAUGCAGCAACGCCGCGUGCGGGAUGACGGCCUUCGGGUUGUAAACCGCUUUCGCCUGUGACGAAGCGUGAGUGACGGUAAUGGGUAAAGAAGCACCGGCUAACUACGUG